This 415-nucleotide ribosomal RNA is filed under the name uncultured eukaryote. RNAcentral's name for it is "SSU rRNA". It matches the Rfam family "Eukaryotic small subunit ribosomal RNA", at positions 63 to 480 of the family's 1831-position model. The record is from RNAcentral.
GUUCACACCCUAGUACGGUGAAACCGCGAAUGGCUCAUUAAAUCAGCUAUGGUUCCUUAGAUNUUACAUCCUUACUUGGAUAACUGUAGUAAUUCUAGAGCUAAUACACGAUACAAAACCCUGACCUUACGGGAAGGGUGGAUUUAUUAGAACAAAACCAACCGACUUCGGUCGUUGGCUUGAUGACUCUGGAUAACUUUCCUGAUCGCAUGGCCCCGCGCCAGCGACGUAUCUUUCAAAUGUCUGCCCUAUCAACUAUCGAUGGUAGGUGAUAUGCCUACCAUGGUUAUAACGGGUAACGGGGAAUCAGGGUUCGMMCCCGGAGAGGGAGCCUUAGAAAUGGCUACCACAUCUAAGGAAGGCAGCAGGCACGCAAAUUACNCACUCUCAGCUCGAGGAGGUAGUGACGAAAAAU